Molecule: ribosomal RNA, 448 nt
Filed under: uncultured bacterium
Lineage: Bacteria
Description: bacterial SSU rRNA
Rfam family: Bacterial small subunit ribosomal RNA
Source: RNAcentral
AACGAACGCUGGCGGCAGGCUUAACACAUGCAAGUCGAACGUCCGCAAGGGCGUGGCAGACGGGUGAGUAACGCGUGGGAAUAUCCCCCUCAGUACGGAAUAACCCAGGGAAACUUGGAACAAUACCGUAUACGUCCGUGAGGAGAAAGAUUUAUCGCUGAGGGAUUAGCCCGCGUCUGAUUAGCUAGUUGGUGAGGUAAUGGCUCACCAAGGCGACGAUCAGUAGCUGGUCUGAGAGGAUGAUCAGCCACACUGGGACUGAGACACGGCCCAGACUCCUACGGGAGGCAGCAGUGGGGAAUAUUGGACAAUGGGCGAAAGCCUGAUCCAGCCAUGCCGCGUGAGUGAUGAAGGCCUUAGGGUUGUAAAGCUCUUUUGUCCGGGAAGAUAAUGACGGUAUCGGAAGAAUAAGCCCCGGCUAACCUCGUGCCAGCCGCCGCCGUAAAAC